GACGAACGCUGGCGGCGCGCCUAACACAUGCAAGUCGAACGAGCGAGAGAGAGCUUGCUUUCUCGAGCGAGUGGCGAACGGGUGAGUAACGCGUGAGGAACCUGCCUCAAAGAGGGGGACAACAGUUGGAAACGACUGCUAAUACCGCAUAAGCCCACGACCCGGCAUCGGGUAGAGGGAAAAGGAGCAAUCCGCUUUGAGAUGGCCUCGCGUCCGAUUAGCUAGUUGGUGAGGUAAUGGCCCACCAAGGCGACGAUCGGUAGCCGGACUGAGAGGUUGAACGGCCACAUUGGGACUGAGACACGGCCCAGACUCCUACGGGAGGCAGCAGUGGGGAAUAUUGCACAAUGGGGGAAACCCUGAUGCAGCGACGCCGCGUGGAGGAAGAAGGUCUUCGGAUUGUAAACUCCUGUUGUUGAGAAAGAUAAUGACGGUACUCA
RNAcentral lists this ribosomal RNA (440 nucleotides) under uncultured bacterium. RNAcentral describes it as "bacterial SSU rRNA". It matches the Rfam family "Bacterial small subunit ribosomal RNA", at positions 28 to 481 of the family's 1533-position model. The record is from RNAcentral.